UACAGAGGGUGCGAGCGUUAAUCGGAAUUACUGGGCGUAAAGCGUGCGUAGACGGUUAUCUAAGUCGGAUGUGAAAGCCCCGGGCUCAACCUGGGAAUGGCCAUGGAAACUGGCGAACUGGAGUCCGGUAGAGGAGUGUGGAAUUCCCGGUGUAGCGGUGAAAUGCGCAGAUAUCGGGAGGAACACCCGUAGCGAAGGCGGCUCUCUGGGACGGUACUGACGCUGAGACGCGAAAGCGUGGGGAGCGAACAGG
This 253-nucleotide ribosomal RNA is filed under the name uncultured bacterium. RNAcentral's name for it is "partial 16S ribosomal RNA". It matches the Rfam family "Bacterial small subunit ribosomal RNA", at positions 524 to 776 of the family's 1533-position model. The record is from RNAcentral.